UCAGGAGUGUUACAUUUUAUUUGGUCUUAUCUCUUUUUGAGCUUUUUUUUCCUUUGUUUUUUUUCCACAGGUUAAAACCCCUUAUAACAGUCAAGAGAAAUAAAAACAUUUUUCACAAACUGUAUACAGAAAUAAUCCUCUUGACGCACAAUAAAAACAGUUGAUUAGGCCCAGCCCAGUGCGAGAUUUCACAAAAAUGCAACAAAAAACGAAUUUUCAAAGCCCGACAACUUGCAAAAAAAACCUCUAACUCGCAUGAGCAGAGGCAGUUCUGAGAGAGAUGUAAAAAUGGCUGCCAGGGCAAUGCAACAGUUGUGUUAUCACAUCGCCGAGGUUGUAAUAAAAGACAAAAUAGACAUAGAAAUUAAUCUGGAACAAUUACAAUAAAAGCAAAUAGAUACAAAGACGGGGAGAAGGUCGAGCUCGUCUGCUACGUUAAGGUAGUUACAAGUAGUUACCUUUUCUCCAUCUUAGCAGUUUUAUGCACAUAAAAAUUCAGUAUGGGUGCCUCAAGGGGACAUUAGGCUGCAAUUUAGGUUUGGGUUUUUUGCUGCAAUGUACACAAAGAACCGGGUUUCUGCUACACAAACACUGGGGUGCGCAGACAAAUCAGAUUUGGUCAAAUUGGAAGAACUGGAAUGUAAAGUUAAUCUGCCUCAUGUGAAGCACCCAUACAUGCAUCUUAAAAAACUCCAGUGAAAACCUAAAAAAAAAUGGUUUUGUUCAUAUGAAAUCAUCCUAAUGUAGACUGCGUCCAUGGCCAUCUUGAAAGAGAAAUAAUCCAGUGUGUAAAAAGAUGGCCAUUUAUAAAUAUCCACUCCUCCCCCCAUGUAUAGAAAUGUUGUGAAUGUUCUUAGCAGGCUGGUGGGAAGCUGUCAGAAGGAAAAGCCUUUUACAGUACUGUGAUGCUGCGAGUUGAAGAGAUUUGACCAGUGAGUCAUGGGGAUUUGUACCAUCCAAAACCAUUUCAAAUUGUCUGCAUGGAUCAUUUAGAGUUCAGUUAUUUAAGCCCAACCACAAGCACCUGAAAGAGACCUCCUGCUGUUAAAUACCCAAAAGCCUCAGGCAAACACUUUACCUGGAAUUAUAGCUGCGCCUUUGAAGACGUUAAUCAGGUGAAAUGUCAGACGUUUAGUCACUUAGCUGAUCAUUAAAUUUGUUAGCAUUGAUUUGCACACAAAUGCUGUUGGCAGCGCUAAACAGAGCGGUGGCGCUUUUACCCUUCCUGCCUGUCAUUUUAUCCACGAUCCUGUCAUACACUGACGAUACUGGAAAUACAAGCCGCAACGUAAAAGCUCAAUGCAACAGGCAAGAUUCUAGACUUGGCACAUGGGUUGUCAAUGGAAAACAGAAGUUCUAUGACAGCCCAGUUGCAUAUUCUUCACCACUAAGGAAAGCACAGAGCUAUAAUGUGAAACUUUCUUAAAUAACCCAAAACAAAUCCUGUAAUAAAGUCAAGAUAAACUGGCCAGAACUAGCACAGUGAAAGCAUAGUCCUGACAGUGAAGUACGGAAGUUGGAGUGUGAUAAAACAGGGCUGCCUGAGUGUAAAAGGUCUUGGGGGGGAUGACACUUUGACACUAUCAAAACAUCUACAGAGAAGAAUUUAGUCUGUUAAUCAGAAUAAAGUAUUGACAAAUUAAUAGAUUUAAAUCUCAUUCAUGGAAGAUGUACUGACUCUUGUUGCAGUGGGUUCCUACUGUGAGGAUGGAUUUAUAAUGUGGUUAAUCUAAACUAAAUGAGAUCAGACACUUUUAAUUACCUUGAGGUGACACAAUUUUGAAUCGUCUCAGAUUUAGGUGACACAGGAGAGCAUGCAAUUCUGUUUUAUAUGGUAGCUUAUGGACUCCAAUUCAUAAUAAGACACCAAAUGAUUUAAACCCUGUGUCGUCCUGCGGGUCAAAAUUGACUCGUUUUAAAGUUUGAAAAUGUGGAAAAAAAAUAGAUAUUCACAGUGAAACUUCUGAUGUCCACAUUUUCAGCAUUUUUGGGAAAUCUUUGAACAUUUUUCGGUGGAAAAAAAAGAAAUGUUAAAAAUGUUUUUUAAUAACAUUCACAAAAAAAUCAACC
This is a long non-coding RNA of Amphiprion ocellaris (clown anemonefish), 2070 nucleotides long. The record is from Ensembl. Lineage: Eukaryota; Metazoa; Chordata; Actinopteri; Pomacentridae.